This 75-nucleotide small RNA is filed under the name Xanthomonas vasicola. RNAcentral describes it as "sX9 sRNA". It matches the Rfam family "Xanthomonas sRNA sX9". The record is from RNAcentral. RNAcentral also lists the same sequence under 16 other names. Lineage: Bacteria; Pseudomonadati; Pseudomonadota; Gammaproteobacteria; Lysobacterales; Lysobacteraceae.
AUGUACCACUCAUCCACUCCGGUUCCUCCGCGCCGUCCCGGCCACCUGACGGCUGCUCGCCACGUUCUGUUACCG